CUGGAACAGAGAGAGUGUCAGAGGCAAGGAGGUGUUGGUGAAGGAGCAUCUUCUUCUUCAGCCUCCACCUGACAAGCGCUGAACUUGAGGUACAGCUGAGGUACGUCUGAGCAGUGGGUGUCAGUGUCGUCACAUCAGCAUCCCUCCUCCCAGUGACUAAACCACUCUGGAAGAAGUAUUGCUGCAGUGCAGUCUUCACCUGAACCAGUGAGGUUAAGACGCCGCAAAGAAACACAAUGAAGAACUGCGAACCGAGAAGAAGACUCAGAAAGCACAGACAAGCCAUGCUGCGAAGUAGCCUGCAGCCAGAAGAGCCUCCAUGAGGAUCCACAAGAAGGUGAUGACUGAGGCAAGGACAUUGCACAGAAUAUACAUAUUUAUACACUUCUCCAUAAAGGGGUUUCCUGAUACAAUUUUGUCACUUCUGGUACGAUAUCAAUAUUGGAGUUUUGAGCCGAUUAGGGUUUUCCUGAUACCAAUAUUUUGGUACCGGUACUUUGAUACUUUUUAAAAUAAAUGGGACCACAAAAAAUGUCAUUAUUAUCUUUUUUUUUUACAGAAAAUCUUCUGAUACAUUGCACAUAUGUUUCUUAUUGCAAACAAAAAAAAUUGCCAUUAAAAACAGUGAACAUACUAAACAACUUGUCCUUUAGUAGUAAGUAAGCAAAUGGAUUACAGAAGCUCCUAAUUUGGCUGCUGACAUAUGCAGUAACAUAUUGUCAUUUACAAAUAUUUUGGAUGGAUUAUUUAGUCAAAAUAUGACAAGCGGUAAAAAAUAGAUGGAUGGAUUAUUUGUCCACUUAUUCAUUUACUGUUAACACCUGCUUACUUGCUGUUUUAGUAUAUCUACACUUCUGUUGAAAUGUAAUAAUCACUUAUUCUUCUGUUUUUUGGAUACUUUACAUAGGUUUUGGGUGAUUCUCCAAAUGUAGGUACCGAUUCAAUACCAAGUAGUAACAGGGUCAUACAUUGGUCAUUACAGGUACUUUUCAAAGGCAGUAGAGUACCUGUUUUAAUUAUUUAGUACUGCAGUACUUUAUUAGUAUUUGUAUACUUUGCAACCCUAAUAACGAUAUUGACCCGAUAUGCAGGAAUCAUACAUACUUGUAUUAUUUUGUAAUGUGGAUUGGUAAAAUAAUUUUGAUCAGGUGAAAUAUUCAAACAGAGAACAAUGGUAGGAAUAUGAAAAACAAUAACCUAUGUAAUAUUAACCACCUGGACUGGACAUAUGCUGUCUUUAAGUUGAAGUGGAGUGGUAAUUGUUUUUGUCGACACCCAGUGGCCACAAUAAAUACUGAAGUUAAGCUCAUGACGCAGUAAAUUGAAUGAUGCGGACACGUUCGUUGCUGGAUUCUUUCUAACACGUCUUUGCUUUGUAAACUUUGUAUGUGUAAGUAAUACGCAACUAUAGUUAUUUGGUACUUGUUUAUACUGACUAAUGUGAUGUUUUAGACUGCAAUAUUGUUCAACCAGUCUUUGGUGAAUUAAUGUCUGUUUUUAGUACAAAAUAAUCCUCCAUGGGACCAAAGAAAAGACUUUGAUAAAGAUGCUGAGAAACACUCUGAAUUUGAGAAAUAACGGGUAUUAAAGUAUGAUGUCUCUUUCCUACUCUCUCUUUACUCAUAGCCAACAAGAAUGUUCAAUAAAAGUAAAAAAUUAUGU
Molecule: long non-coding RNA, 1662 nt
Organism: Nerophis ophidion (straightnose pipefish)
Lineage: Eukaryota; Metazoa; Chordata; Actinopteri; Syngnathiformes; Syngnathidae
Exons: 7
Source: RefSeq, a predicted model, not a curated record